This 244-nucleotide ribosomal RNA is filed under the name uncultured bacterium. RNAcentral's name for it is "partial 16S ribosomal RNA". It matches the Rfam family "Bacterial small subunit ribosomal RNA", at positions 528 to 770 of the family's 1533-position model. The record is from RNAcentral.
UAGGGUGCGAGCGUUGUCCGGAUUUACUGGGCGUAAAGAGCUCGUAGGUGGUUUGUCGCGUCGUCUGUGAAAUUCCGGGGCUUAACUCCGGGCGUGCAGGCGAUACGGGCAUAACUUGAGUGCUGUAGGGGUAACUGGAAUUCCUGGUGUAGCGGUGGAAUGCGCAGAUAUCAGGAGGAACACCGAUGGCGAAGGCAGGUUACUGGGCAGUUACUGACGCUGAGGAGCGAAAGCAUGGGUAGCG